Molecule: ribosomal RNA, 447 nt
Filed under: uncultured bacterium
Lineage: Bacteria
Description: partial 16S ribosomal RNA
Rfam family: Bacterial small subunit ribosomal RNA
Source: RNAcentral
AACGAACGCUGGCGGCAGGCUUAACACAUGCAAGUCGAACGCUCCGCAAGGAGAGUGGCAGACGGGUGAGUAACACGUGGGAACGUACCCUUUACUACGGAACAACUCCGGGAAACUGGAGCUAAUACCGUAUGUGCCCUUUGGGGGAAAGAUUUAUCGGUAAAGGAUCGGCCCGCGUUGGAUUAGCUAGUUGGUGGGGUAAAGGCCUACCAAGGCGACGAUCCAUAGCUGGUCUGAGAGGAUGAUCAGCCACAUUGGGACUGAGACACGGCCCAAACUCCUACGGGAGGCAGCAGUGGGGAAUAUUGGACAAUGGGCGCAAGCCUGAUCCAGCCAUGCCGCGUGUGUGAUGAAGGCCUUAGGGUUGUAAAGCACUUUCACCGGAGAAGAUAAUGACGGUAUCCGGAGAAGAAGCCCCGGCUAACUUCGUGCCAGCCGCCGCGGUAA